CAGUAGCCACGGUAAUACGAAGGGGGCUAGCGUUGCUCGGAAUUACUGGGCGUAAAGGGAGCGUAGGCGGGUCGUUUAGUCAGAGGUGAAAUCCCGGGGCUCAACCUCGGAACUGCCUUUGAUACUGGCGACCUUGAGUAUGGGAGAGGUGAGUGGAACUCCGAGUGAAGAGGUGAAAUUCGUAGAUAUUCGGAAGAACACCAGUGGCGAAAGCGACUCACUGGCCCAUUACUGACGCUGAGGCUCGAAAGCGUGGGGAGCAAACAGGAUUAGAUACCCGCGUAGUCCCUGUCUCUUAUAA
Molecule: ribosomal RNA, 301 nt
Filed under: uncultured bacterium
Lineage: Bacteria
Description: partial 16S ribosomal RNA
Rfam family: Bacterial small subunit ribosomal RNA
Source: RNAcentral